GUUUGGGGCGAGCUACCAUGCAGUCGAGCGGUAACAGGGGGUGCUUGCACCCCGCUGACGAGCGGCGGACGGGUGAGUAAUGCAUAGGAAUCUGCCCAGUAGUGGGGGAUAGCCCGGGGAAACCCGGAUUAAUACCGCAUACGUCCUUCGGGGGAAAGCAGGGGAUCUUCGGACCUUGCGCUAUUGGAUGAGCCUAUGUCGGAUUAGCUAGUUGGUGGGGUAAAGGCCUACCAAGGCGACGAUCCGUAGCUGGUCUGAGAGGAUGAUCAGCCACAUCGGGACUGAGACACGGCCCGAACUCCUACGGGAGGCAGCAGUGGGGAAUAUUGGACAAUGGGGGCAACCCUGAUCCAGCCAUGCCGCGUGUGUGAAGAAGGCUUUCGGGUUGUAAAGCACUUUCAGUGAGGAGGAAAACCUUCUGGUUAAUACCCAUGAGGCUUGACGUUACUCACAGAAGAAGCACCGGCUAACUCCGUGCCAGCAGCCGCGGUAAUACGGAGGGUGCAAGCGUUAAUCGGAAUUACUGGGCGUAAAGCGCGCGUAGGUGGUUUGAUAAGCGAGAUGUGAAAGCCCCGGGCUUAACCUGGGAACGGCAUUUCGAACUGUCAGG
RNAcentral lists this ribosomal RNA (610 nucleotides) under Marinobacter sp. Its description in RNAcentral is "bacterial SSU rRNA". It matches the Rfam family "Bacterial small subunit ribosomal RNA", at positions 35 to 640 of the family's 1533-position model. Lineage: Bacteria; Pseudomonadati; Pseudomonadota; Gammaproteobacteria; Pseudomonadales; Marinobacteraceae. The record is from RNAcentral.